Molecule: non-coding RNA, 46 nt
Filed under: Schistosoma curassoni
Lineage: Eukaryota; Metazoa; Platyhelminthes; Trematoda; Strigeidida; Schistosomatidae
Source: RNAcentral
GCACUGCUGAGGAGUCCGAUACUAGGACGAAACGGCCGUUCAGUAC